Long non-coding RNA from Mauremys reevesii (Reeves's turtle), 1451 nucleotides. RefSeq lists it as uncharacterized. The transcript is spliced from 5 exons. The record is from RefSeq and is a predicted model, not a curated record. Lineage: Eukaryota; Metazoa; Chordata; Testudines; Geoemydidae.
CUUGCUAUGAAUGACCUGAACAGGCGAGACCAAAAGAUCUGAUUUUACAUCAGUGAGGAUUUCCCUGGGCCUGAUUAGAGGAACAUGAAUUCUAAUUGGUCAGGGCUUCCUAUUUAAACCCAAAAAGUGGCAUAGGAAGUUGUCUGACUAUCUGGGGGUCUACCUGGUUGUUAUAUUAGACUCUGCUUCCCUGCCUUGUUUUGAUCCUUGCUCCUAGACUCUGAUUCUGGCUCUGACCCUGGGCUUGACUUCCAACUCUGAUUCCUGCUCCAGCCAUCUACAUCUUGGCCCCAAUGCUUAAAAGGAGGACAGCCCUGCAGGGAGCAAUGCUUUUAAGUGGUUUGGCUGGAGAUUGUUGUGGGGAAACAGAGCUAGAGGGCUGUGAUGCUGAGUCUUGCUUGCUGAAGUUGCCAGGAGGUGAUACUCUGAGCCUCAGAUGGAUCACGGCAUGUCCAGCUUCUCUGAUUCUCCCAAAACAGUCCAGGCUGUCUUGAGAUUCCUUUAAAUACUAGGAGCAGGCCCUUGCAGUAUGUGCACAUCUUGAUCAAAGUUCGUCUGAUUGUCUGCCUCAGCCUCAAGAUGUUGGAUUCGGACCUACCAAUGUGCUUGGGAAUGACAGGCAGCACAGGAUGGACUCGGACCUAUGACUGAUCAAUCAGGAUCGGGAUUACUUCUCAGGUGCUGAUGAAGAGAGCAGAACAUAUCAAGAAAUACUUGUCUUCAGAUAUCUUGUUUAAUUUAUGCUAACUAUUUCUUUACAAAUAGUAUAGUUCUGCAAUGUCUUUUUGAAAACAAAUUGCAAUGAAAAAUACUGGGCCAGAACUGCAAACAUACAGAUGCUGUGACUACUGCUUAUUACACUACACUAAUCAGAAGGGUCACUUUGUGCUUUUCCCCGGGUUUUGUAUUUACCUGGUUUCACCAGCCUUACACUUAAGCUCUUUGGGUAUGUCAACUACAUCUGGAAACAAGCCUCCCUGGCCAGAUCCACAGUCACGUUAGUGAGGCUUGCACUAAUAAAUAGCUAUGUAGAUGUUGUUUUGACAUUGAGCCUUGGGCUCAGGGACUCAAGACUAUUCUCUUUCUCUUCCCCUCUCCAGCCACCCCCAGGCUUCAGAGCCCGAGCUGUAAAGUUUACUCAGCUACCUAGGCUGGGAGGCUUGCUCCCCAGUGCGGCAUAGACAUGCUUUACAGCCAAGAUGUAACAUCUAGUUUGGAUUUUUUUGGAUCAAAGAUGCAUGGUGAACAGAGAUCUUUCACUGUAUUGUCAACAAUCAUGCAUAGAGCUUAAGGUAUAUUGAACUAAAUGGAAAUCCUUCCUUUAGUUAAUUUGGAACACAGUAAUAUUAGUGUGUGCAUGAUAUUGCCAUUGUCUACAUACAAUUUUUAAGUAUCAGAGUUAUCGAUUCACCUAGUUUUUCAGGGUCCUCUAAUUUUCCUUAACAGUUAGA